This 108-nucleotide ribosomal RNA is filed under the name Vibrio splendidus. RNAcentral describes it as "partial 23S ribosomal RNA". It matches the Rfam family "Bacterial large subunit ribosomal RNA", at positions 1 to 107 of the family's 2925-position model. Lineage: Bacteria; Pseudomonadati; Pseudomonadota; Gammaproteobacteria; Vibrionales; Vibrionaceae. RNAcentral also lists the same sequence under 1 other name. The record is from RNAcentral.
GGUUAAGUGACUAAGCGUACACGGUGGAUGCCUUGGCAGUCAGAGGCGAUGAAAGGCGUAAUAACUUGCGAUAAGCCCAGAUUAGGUAGUAAUAACCUUUUGAGUCUG